UGCCAGCAGCCGCGGUAAUACGUAGGUGGCGAGCGUUAUCCGGAAUUAUUGGGCGUAAAGGGCGCGUAGGCGGCCUCAAAAGUCUGACGUGAAAGCUCCUGGCUUAACUGGGAGAGGUCGUUGGAAACUGCGAGGCUUGAGGCAAUGAGAGGGGUGCGGAAUUCCCGGUGUAGUGGUGGAAUGCGUAGAUAUCGGGAGGAACACCAGUGGCGAAAGCGGCAUCCUAGCAUUGACCUGACGCUGAGGAGCGAAAGCUAGGGGAGCGAACGGGAUUAGAUA
This 279-nucleotide ribosomal RNA is filed under the name uncultured bacterium. RNAcentral's name for it is "partial 16S ribosomal RNA". It matches the Rfam family "Bacterial small subunit ribosomal RNA", at positions 506 to 784 of the family's 1533-position model. The record is from RNAcentral.